CCGUUGAGCACACUGAACAAAACCAUGUGACAGUUUUAAACAGGCAGGUAGAGAGAGGCUGUUUUACCUGUUCACUACACAGUAAUUUUCGCAGUGUUAAAUAUGCACUGUGUCACAAUUCAUUGACUCUUUCAGAGCUAAUACAACAGACUGAGUAUAAUGCCCCCUAGAGUUCGUGAAAAUUUCCAGUGUAUACACGUCGUGUCAAUUUAACUCUAACAUUCUCCGCCCUCCUCCUCCUCUCAAUCCAACAAGUCUAGCCGUUGCAUGGACGCCAUUUUUCACUUGCUUGAAAGACUGCGGAACCAUGUUGAUUAAAACAAGACUUGGCGAGCUGCAAAAAUGUGUCCGACUAACGGAGCCGAAUCUGAAGGAGUUUUUGAUAGCAGCAUUCACAAAAUUUGGCAUGCCAGCUAUAACAGAGGGUGUGAAGGUUGUUGACAGUUCUGGGACUGAGUUGGAUGAAGAUGUAUUUGAGGAUGUUGUUAAGGAUCCCUCUGCUGGAGUCCUAACCAUCAAAUAUGAAACUGAAUUUGUCUCCAUUGUGGAAUCGCCUGAGGAAUCUCAGCCAAGCUCCUCUGAUUCUCAAGAGACACUCAUUCUUUCAGAGAGUCCUUCCGCUAAACGCCAGCGCCUGGACACAGAAGCUAAGCAUUUGGUGGAAUCCAUUCUUAACAACAAACCUGAUGGCGAACGGAUCAUGAAGGAAUAUAAUCGAAGCAAGUGCCUUACAGAUGAAACCAGAAGGAAAAUGGUUAACAUACUGGCAGCUGAUAUGACAGAGAAGAACGGGACAUCACCACCCAGAGAGGUUAAAGAAAUGUAUGCCAGAGGAAUUGUGAGCUUAUUCCCCUACCUCAGAGAUCCAUUCUCCAGGAAUGGUUAUAUUUACUGGUUGUGUCAGUCAUAAUCAGAGAUCCACUGCUAGAGACAGACGAUCAUCAUAUGGAGCAUCUUCCGAAGAAGCAUCGUGUGAACAUGGACUUGGAGGACCAGCUGCUAGACGGGAGACCCAGUUUGUUCCAGAGACUGUCCUGAGUGAAGAAGAGUGUAAGGAAGCCAUCGCACUGAUGAAGCAUUCAGUCGAUGAGGACACAGUCAAGAAGAAGAUGAAGCUCACGUUUGACUUCCGACGCAACGUGGUCCUCGAUCCCCAACAGUCAAGCAACAUACUCUCUGUCUUUCCACGUUUCAAAGAUGUCAAAGGCUUGGUGGAGCAGGAUUUUGUCCUAAUGUUUGAAGAAGAUGUUUGUGGAGAAAUGGCCAACCACAUUCAAGACAAAGAUCAUCCAACAAUGCAGAAAGCUUCCAACCACCAGUGACCUUGAAGAACUUCUCCUGGCAGCUGAUACUCCUGAGGAUGGCACUGAAGUGGAUGAUGAUGAUAUGAGUUGGGACAGUGACCUCUCAUCGAUUUUGUUGCUGCUACACCUGAUUCCCCCCUCUGCUUUGGGCCGGAAGAGACCAGGGAAGGUGUCUGCCUCCCAAGCAGAGAAGCAUCUUGUGGUCUUCAAGAAGACGGGAACCAACAUCCAAGAACAUCUUGAUGCCAUCACGACGAGCACACAACCCUAUCUCCUGGCUGUGGGACGGAGGAAGAAAGUAGCUCACUAGUUCUUCAUCAUCCUUGACAAAAAUGCCAUCGCUUGCAGGUCAACUUCCUCUCUUGGUGCUUUUGACAAACUGUUUAAGGCACAUUACGUUGUUUGCCACAACAUACAACCCCAUGCUGUGCAAUAUGUUAAUGUUCAUCCAGACCACUGUGUACAAUAUAGAUGUAGGUAAAGUGAAAGAAAGUCCUCGUGUGGCAGAAAUUUGGGCUAGGUUGCUUCACUAGUACUUGAACAAAUCUGUUUGACAGAGUUAAGUUGCACAAAUGCACUCGUUCGGCAUAUACGAGUAGUUAGUUCAUGGUUACUUGGAUGGAAAAACUGUCUUAAAUGUGCUCUGUCAACUUCGAGCCGUCUAAUGUAAUGGGAUGUACA
Poecilia reticulata (guppy) is the source of this 1985-nucleotide non-coding RNA. The record is from RefSeq and is a predicted model, not a curated record. Lineage: Eukaryota; Metazoa; Chordata; Actinopteri; Cyprinodontiformes; Poeciliidae.